CGGCGGGACAACAUUGUAUUUGCGGUGGUGACUUGGCGCAGUGUGUAACUCGCUCCGGCUAGCGAAACGCCGUUCUGUGCAAAUAUCCAGACUGUUCCGUUUUGGCUGUGAAUAGCGUUAACCGAAAGAGUUUGCUUUGCUGCUUGUGGUGUGUUUGGAAGCGCCAGAUCGAUACCGGUGGCGUUCAGUUUAGAAUAUUAUCGCUCUGGACGGAACCUUCCAAUCUAGAGGUGUUAUAACAGAGGAUCAAUAUUGGGGCAGUGUAGCCCUGUUUGCGUUGUGAUUGUUGUGAAAACAGCUCAACUCAACAAGCAACCGUCGCUCAAACAGUCCCAGCCUCGAAGGGUUUCUCUCAGCGAUGAAGUCACGCAGCUCCUGCGGUCAUCUGGCGCAGGCAAUGGUGAUGGUGUGGCUGUUGCACGCUUCCACACUGCUGCUAUCAUCCACCAACGGCCAGGAGUACGACAGCAGCUAUGAAGAGCAUCUCAACUUUAGCGAUGUGUUUACGGACAUUGCGGAGGACCUAACGACCGGCUACAGCCAUGGAGGUCCCGAGACCAUCCACACAGCCUUCCGGAGCCACUGUCAGGCCUGCCAGUUCCGGAACGUGUACGCGAUGGCUUCGCUCAAAUCGAUCCAGGCGCACGUACUGAUGAAGCUCGGCAUUGACUCCAUGCCGAACAGGACGCAGUACCCGAAGAUACCGCGCCACAUUUUGGAAAGCUUCACCAGGCAGGAGGGUGUGCCCCUGCACUCACCCAGCAUGGUACGCGAUACGGACUAUAUGGCGGACGAACCGUCCGCCGGGGUGGAGGAGAUCGAGGAGGACUUUGACUACUAUCCGAUCACGAACAAGAUCUACAUUCUGGCGAAACGAAAAGCAAACCGACCGAAAACACUCGAAUCAUAACAGCGUUUUUAGUUUUUAAGAUUAGCUUUUUAAGCACCUGGGGAUAUAAUACAUUUUGAAUAUUAAUUAUUUCCUUUCCAGUUUACCUAACGUUUAUCUUUGACCUUUAUUUCAGAAUUCGUCGAUUAUUUUAAGUCGCUAUGUUCGAUAUAAAUUAUUAACCCAUUUCUUUCCUUUCACUAGGGUUAUCUUACAAUCUUGAAGCUCUUCUCCUUUCCAGGCCACUUCGAUGAAGCUCAGGCUCAGGUGAUUUCACCCGGCUUACCAGCAACAAUCCGGGGCCUUCCUUAUCUCGCAACGCCCUCAAGGGUACGAGCAAAAAGGGAUCAUUUAUAAGGAUUUAUCUCAAACGUUCGAGCCACUUUAGGGCCGCCCCAUCCAAUUGGAUAUAUUUUAACAUCCCGUUUAAGCUUGUCCCAAGUGGUUUAAAUUAAUCGACACGCUCUUCAAUGUCGUUGUCGGGGCACUUUCCGUGCUUAAAUGAAAACUGGGCACGAAAGGACACAAAUAAAAGUUCCCUCUUGGAAGCGUCAGCAGGAGUCGAACGAAAGCACGGGUUAAUUAUGCACACCUUUUUUAAAAAACGGUCUCGCGGGGUUACCGUGGCACAUUUUCGUCUUAAUUAUAACACAUUGAUAAGCCUUACCUGGUCCACUGAUCCAUAAUGACGCCGGGAGAAGACGCCUCGCCUCGAGAUGAGCUCUGUCGCCGAAGUACUGCAAGGAACAGAAUUAAAGAAAACAAUAAGAGAGGAGGUUUUGACAAGGUUUCAUUCUAUUAUGAGUUAUUUCUGAAAACAGUGCUCAACUCCGGUUUUGGUACGGAAUUGUGCUCGAGUUGCGAUCGUAUCGACGAAAAACCGUACUGCUGCGCUAAUUGGUACUAAAUAGACACUUGCAUAGAUCAAAAAUUCAAAACCCCUUCCACCCACCGGCUGCACUCACGUAAAUGUGCAAACAAACAUAUAAACAAACUGCUGCUUUAACCUCCGCUGCCAAGCUCGGGGUACCGUCGGAACGAAAACCAUUAAUCAGUGUCACCAGCGUUACCAGGGGAAAUGCCGACUUCCUGGUAAUGAUACGGUUGCGUGAACCGACGGACCGCCUCGUCCAAGGAGAAUGCCGUUGGCUCGAUGGUCACGAUGAUGAGUCGGAGAUGGUGAACAAAAAAUAAACCAGGGCACGUUUUCAGUACGAGACGACGCGCUCGAAAUGAAUGAAAUAAAAUUGUGCUAUGCGGCAGAUUUUUGCGCUUGGGUGUGAUCAGAAUGCUUUCGAGAUGCUCGAAAAGCAGCUCAGUCGCCACGAGCUGGUGGAAGUUUUUGGCCUGGAGUGUUUCAUUUCAUUUUUCAGUUUAAGAGUAUUAAAACCGGUGACCGAAACUGGCGAAAACGCUCUUUUUAGGGUUUUAUGGUUGAGAUGAAUCUAAUUUUUGGAAAAUCUUGAUUUGCUCGCUAGUUGGGCUGCUGGUUACGAUCGCAAGAGUUGAGGUUUGGAAUGUAGUGGGAUGAAUUAAGAGGCACAUAAAUAAGACGGUAAACGUGAAUGCAACAGCUAAAGUAUGGGGAUGGGAUAAAUUUUUCCCAUAAAAUGUAAUGCAAUUAUUUUCAAGAGGCUUUUCUUAAAACGGUUGUUGUGCAUUGGGCGUGGCGUGCCUGAAGGUAUGCAGUAUUUCUGUAUGGGUUGUGUAAAACGCUUACAUUGCCAAAGAAAUAU
This is an RNA transcript of Anopheles arabiensis, 2625 nucleotides long. RefSeq lists it as uncharacterized. The transcript is spliced from 3 exons. The record is from RefSeq and is a predicted model, not a curated record. NCBI's taxonomy places the organism in Eukaryota, Metazoa, Arthropoda, Insecta, Diptera, Culicidae.